AUGCCCAGACGUCUGAGCAGGACACGGUGCAGGCCGCAGUACUGAGCCUUCUUUCUGCGCAGAUAGUUCCCUCUUUAGUGUUACUCUUCAGCUGUGUUUGUUUUCUGGCGUCAAUUUAAGAAACAUAUUAUUCCAUCUUGGAAACCCAUUUUAAACAACCCAAUCCGCGUGGGAGCGAAGUGAGGAACAGCGAAACAAGACUCGGCCAUGUCGUACUACUCAUCCUCCCGAAGUUCUUCUCGAGCCCCGGAUUGCAAAGUCUAUGUGGGUGACUUGGGCAACGGUGCAGCCAAAGGAGAGCUGGAGAGAGCGUUCAGUUAUUAUGGGCCCCUGAGGAGUGUGUGGGUGGCCCGAAACCCACCUGGGUUUGCCUUUGUAGAGUUUGAAGACACCAGGGAUGCUGAAGAUGCUGUUAAAGGCAUGGAUGGAAAGGUGCUGUGUGGCUCUCGUGUUCGGGUAGAGAUGUCUACUGGCCUCUCCAGGAAGGGCCGUGGGCGUCCAAGUCGGCGCCAGUUUGAUCCCAAUGACCGGUGUUAUCAGUGUGGGGAUAGGGGCCACUACGCCUAUGACUGCUACCGCUUCAGCAAGAGGGGAGGAGGAGGUGGAGGAGGGGGCAGACGCAGCAGGUCCCGGUCCCGAUCUCGGUCCCGCUCACGCUCUCAUGGCCGCCGCUACCGUUCUCGCUCCCGGAGCCGCAGCUACAGCCGGAGCCGCCGUCGCUCUCCUUCCUAUUCCCGGCGCAGAAGCAGGUCUGGCUCCCCUGCACGCUCUAAAUCCAGGACUCCGGUCAGAAGUCGCUCUAGGUCUCGAUCAGGCUCUGCCCCUAGGGGACGAUCUGUGUCUCGCUCCCGCUCUCGAUCUCGCUCAUCUCACAAGAGGAACAGCCUAUGGUGGGACCUGAGCACUGCAUUGACACUGCAGCUGAUCCCAGGCCCUUGUCCGUGUGUGCGUCCUGCGGGAGGGUGACUUAGCGCUGACCUGAGCAGCCACCUCCCCGUAGCCAAGUGUGUUCGACCGGCGCACACAUAGAGUCGUUCUUCUAGAGUCAGCCAACCUUCAGACGUACUGGGGGCUGAUCCACACAGAUCAGAGCUACAGCACUUUAAAUCCAUAACCCUACCUACCAGAGCCCCACUACCUACCAGAGUUCUGCAGCCUCUUAGCUUCUGACAGUCAAAGAGAGAGCUGACGAGAGAUCAGUCUUCAAGACCCUGCGCGGUGUCUCUCCGAGUUGUAGUCAUCCGUCCUUCAGUCCUAUCAUCCUUCGCUUCUCUGUACUUGUUGUUUCUGCUACUGUCUCCAAAGUCGUUCCAGGUCGGCAAGCCCUGCCAGAAGCGCCACGCCAGCCGAUGACUAAGAAGUGUUUUUCUGCUUGUAAACAGACCCUCAGCCCUAUAGUGUAUUCUCUAUUGCAGCCCUCCCUACACAUAGUCCCAAUGCACUGAU
Periophthalmus magnuspinnatus is the source of this 1446-nucleotide RNA transcript. It is a transcript of the gene named serine and arginine rich splicing factor 7a, with no coding region annotated. NCBI's taxonomy places the organism in Eukaryota, Metazoa, Chordata, Actinopteri, Gobiiformes, Gobiidae. The transcript has 9 exons. The record is from RefSeq and is a predicted model, not a curated record.